Heterocephalus glaber (naked mole-rat) is the source of this 1639-nucleotide long non-coding RNA. The record is from Ensembl. Lineage: Eukaryota; Metazoa; Chordata; Mammalia; Rodentia; Bathyergidae.
GAAGCUCGCUUGUCAUUGCAUUUUGGCAUCCAAGGAUUUGGACAGCACCUCCAAGACCGAGACCUUGGCAGCAGCAUGGAGGAGAAGAGCUCUUCCCUGGUGUCCACUGGGGACAAGCAGGCGGGGCGGGGACUCUGGUUUGCCCCUUCCCCUUGGGGGUGGUAGUUGUGUCCUGGCCUGGCCUUUGCUUCAGUCCUUGUAAUGACCUGGAACCCACACCCUGGGGUCCUGGUGGGGUUCCCCCAGGGUGACCCCUCUUCCUGUGGUGCCCCUGUGGACGGUGCCCCUGUGGACAGUGCCCCACCUCGAUGCCCGGGUCUCUUUGUCCCAACUGCUGUGCAUGGGUCGUGGUGGGGUUCUCAGCCCUGGCUUGUUCACUGUACUUUCCCAUUCUGUCUCCAGUGCUGGCCGUGACCCCCCUGCCCCACUACCAUAGUGGCUAUCAGCUGUGCUCAGGGCACCCUUCGACUGGGCACGUGGUGUAGCAGGAAACCACUCCUGAUUGCAGAAGACACCGCCUCCUCCCUGUCCUCCUUGCCACUCCUGUGCAGGGUUCAAGCUCUGCUGGCUGUGGUGGUGCACACCUGUGACUCCAGCAUUCAGGAGGCUGAAGCAGGAGGACCACUGGAAGUUCAAGGCCAGCCUGGGCUACAUAUGCUAUGGAUCAAACCCAGGACCUCAGCCAUGCUAAGAAAGUGCAGAACCACUGAGCUACAACCCUAGCAAGAAAGGAUGCUUCUGAAAGACAUUGGAAGUUGUCUUCAUUGGCAGUUGCUUCAGUGGCCAGCAAAGUAUUUGACAGAGCAAACACCUUGAAACUCUGAAGCACAGACUACCUAAUCUGUUUUUUUAAAUUUAGUUUAUAGGGGCUGGGGAUUUAGCUCAGUGGUUUUGCCGACUGCCCUGAAAGUGCAAGGACCCGAGUUCGAUCCCUGGUACCAAAACAAACAAACAAACAAACCCAAAAUUUAGGUUAUAAUUCAUAUACCAUAAAACUUACGUGUGUGUGUGUGUGUGUGUGUGUGUGUGUGUGUGGUACUAGGGUUUGAACUAGAGUCUUAGCACUGAGCUACAGCCCCCAUAUUUUAUUUUAUAUUUUGAGAUAGGAUCUCUCUAAGUUGCCCAGACUGGAUUUGAACUUGUGAUGAUGCUCCUGCCUGAUAUAAAAUUUACCCUUUGGGAAGUGCACAAUUUAAUGGUUUUAUAAUAUUCACAAAGUUGUUCAACUGUUACUGCCAUCUAAUUCCAGAGCAAGCUGCUUCUGAAGCUUGUAGAUGUUAAAUGAGGAGGUCCUUGGGUUUUGAACAUAUUUACAAAACAUAAACACAUAGCACUUCCCCAUUGUGUUCAAAGGCCGAAUAAUUGACAACAGGGAAGACAGAAAUAUACUAGCUGGAUUAAACAAAAGCUGUCACAUAAUUGGUGGCUGGGAUUUAAAAAUGAGAAAGAUGAUUCAGUAAGCUCAGCUAAUGACGGCCCCUCUUCCAUUCAGCACCCAUAUUUUUGCGACAGCACUAAAGCCCAGAAUUGAAAUAAACUGCCCGAGAGCCAGGACUUCAAAUGGAUGUUUUAUGCUGUUCAAUCAAGAUUUUAGCAAAUAAGGAAGCAUAUGCAAUCAUACUAAUAUAUUUCUAGUGGG